Molecule: long non-coding RNA, 1154 nt
Organism: Cavia porcellus (domestic guinea pig)
Lineage: Eukaryota; Metazoa; Chordata; Mammalia; Rodentia; Caviidae
Exons: 3
Source: RefSeq, a predicted model, not a curated record
CUUAGCCCGCACCUCGGCGCUCGCGGAAUCGGCUCGCGCGGCUCUGGGGCGGCAUGGACGGGGCUGCCUUGGGUCGCGCGCGGCACCGCGGUGACGUCACUCUUGCGCGCGCUGUAGGCGUGGCCUAAAUUUGAACGCAGUUGGCGGGAGCCGAGGCUGAGGGCGAGUCCAGGGCGCUGUCCUGCGAUGGAGCCCUCCUCCGGGAGCAAGGAGUAUACAGAAGGCACGGCGACCGGGGAGUGGAUGAAUACAAUCCCGGUUCCAAGACCACCCUCCAUUGAAGAAUUCACCAUAGUGAAGCCCAUUAGUCGUGGUGCCUUCGGGAAAGUGUAUCUGGGGCAGAAAGGCGACAAGUUGUACGCAGUCAAGCCAGGAGUGAUGGCACAUGCCUAUAAUUCAAGCACUUGGGAGGCUGAGGCAGAAGGAUCCUUGUGAGUUCAAGACCAGCCUCAAUUACAAAAGUGAUCUUAAAGCCAACCUGAACUGCACACAGCAACACUGACUCAAGAAAAGACCCCCCCAAUGUGCUUUGUUACACAACUAUACUAUAAUGCCCAAAUACUCUAUAAGUAAUGGAAUAUCUUUUUGGUGGAGAUGUCAAGUCUCUUCUUCAUAUAUAUGCUUAUUUUGAUGAAGAGAUGGCUGUGAAGUAUAUUUCUGAAGUAGGGCUGGCUCUCAACUAACUUCAUAGACAUGAAAUCAUCCAGAGGUAAAUCAAAUUAUGUGUUAAAUGUUUGGAUAUCAAAUAUUUACUGUAACCAUUUGCCCAUAUUUCCAGAUUAAGGUUUAAUAGUAACUUGUGUGAGUUUAGAAAUUCUCUUACCUACUGUUUUGUCUCCCUGUGUUUGAAAUUAUGUUACUUUGAAUAUGAACAUAAUAUUUCAGUGGAAAGAUUUCAGUUCUUUUCCACUCUUUUGCCCUCAUACAAAAGUUCCAUACUGUAUAGUCCUAGCUGAUUUACACUACUUUGUUCUGUGCAAAGAAAGGUUAAGUUACUCUGCUCUGUUAAAGCUUAAUCUUACAUUAACAGAAAAGAAGAUACACAAUUUUGAACUGGCUUGUGGAUUAUUUUAUGUAAUGUGAUUUAUUUAUUUUUCAUGGAAAAUAUAACAAUGUCACAGAUAAUCUAAAAUUAAAUCAUUUAACAUUUUGUG